GUAGGUGAACCUGCGGAAGGAUCAUUACUCUUAGCUUACACUAGUACCUAGUACGAAAUGUAUUGCUAUUACUCUAAACACCAAACUGUGCUCUUUCUUUUUCACCCCAUUCUGAACUCAGUUCUAUCAUGGACUGCAUUCUAUUGUCACCUAUUCUUUUUCUACAACUGAUCUAAUUGUGCGUUGUUGCAGAUGCUGGUACUACUUGUAGCACCAUAUCUGUCUCCACUCACAUCUGUACUGUUCUGCAUCCACUUGAUUGUAUUAUAUCAAUUGUGUGUUGACUGUACUUGUUGAACCACCGAAUGUGACUGUAGUCUGUCUUACCAAAGGCAGUCUCCAGUUCAUUCACGUGAAAACAACUCCGAACAAUGGAUAUCUCGGCUCUC
RNAcentral lists this unclassified non-coding RNA (389 nucleotides) under rhizosphere metagenome. RNAcentral describes it as "partial ribosomal RNA internal transcribed spacer region". The record is from RNAcentral.